Long non-coding RNA from Betta splendens (Siamese fighting fish), 1041 nucleotides. RefSeq lists it as uncharacterized. The record is from RefSeq and is a predicted model, not a curated record. The transcript has 2 exons. Lineage: Eukaryota; Metazoa; Chordata; Actinopteri; Anabantiformes; Osphronemidae.
GGUCGUCCGCGUCGGCCCGCGGCUCCGGAGCGUCGGCCAUGCUCGCACCGUCCAGAUGAGGUCAGCGGUCGCACCGUUCGCUCCGCCGACGCCUGGAAGAGCGGCGGCUCAGACGAGACACAUCAAAAUAAACAAACGUCUGUCUCAUCCUGCGUUCUACCAGACGCUUUGGGGCUCGUCAACAUGCUUUGUGACAAAUUCCGGCCUCUCUUUUUAUGAUCACUUGGCUCAAACAAACUCCUUGACCUUGGAGUUCACCUGGACAUCAAGCUGCCUGGAGAAGGUUCUACUGCCUUUAACAUGAAUAUACACCAUGUCACCAACAGAACGGGGACUUGUAACCACUCAGUUUGCCUGUUUAAAGGGGGACGAGUGUGAAGACCUGUGAUGCUGAUUAGAAAACACACCUUUGUUUUAAUUAAGUGAAAAAUUAUUCAUUUUUGUCCAGGUCUGUUUAAUUGGCUUGUUUUUCAAACCACAAUUCAAAAGCAAUGUCUGAUAUUUUGGUGGUUAAUUAUCAGUUUUGUCUGUGUUAUAAAAAAAGUAACUGUUUCACUAACUUACUGCAAAGUUGGACUAAAACCUGCUUGGGAGUGUGACAAAAGCCAUGAAAAGUCACUGUUUCCUUUCCUAAUGUAACAGGAGCUAAGUGGAGGACUCAUUAAAUUUCCAUUAGUGUAACGUAACCUGUAACUCAGGUGCAACAGUCACUAUUCUCCAGUGGCUCUUAUCAACAAGAGAACACAAACAUUUAUUGCAACAUAACCAUUUAUUUCACUCCACUACAAAAUUAUAUAAUAUUUCGAAUUAUAGUACAGUCUCCACAUAUACAUAAUGUACAUUUUAAAGAUAAACUCAGUAUGUGAAACAGAGCGUACAGUGUUAAUAGUCCUUUCAUAAAACAUACACUUUUUCCACUAGGCAACCUUUUGUAUUAAUGGAUUACAUGUACAGUAAUACUGAUAUGAAAAUAGAAUAAAAUCUAAGUCAAUGAAAUUAGACUGUUGAUUCCUUAUAGUGAUGAAAUAAGAUGAAAAGCAU